RNAcentral lists this ribosomal RNA (480 nucleotides) under Triticum aestivum (bread wheat). RNAcentral describes it as "partial small subunit ribosomal RNA". Lineage: Eukaryota; Viridiplantae; Streptophyta; Magnoliopsida; Poales; Poaceae. The record is from RNAcentral.
AUGCCCGGGGCUGCUAUGGUGGAGAGCUCAAUUCCAACGGGAUUGGAUGCUCUGUUUCAGCCAAGGCAGCAGCCUCUGCUUCCCUCGUCGGCUUCCUCCCCAGUCAAGGCCCCAACGCGCAGGCGCAAGACCCUGGCUGGCAUGCACAUCACCACCAAUGGUGGGUUCUCGCUGAGGCACAACAGUGCGCGGAUCAUGGCUCGCGGCGCUGGCUUUGCCACUGCCAUGGCCAAGGAAGCGCAGGGGCUGCUCUGCCGCUCGAUUGGCAUUGUACAAGACGGGGAAGAUAUCACAGACAAGACGCUGAAGGCAUUCGAAGACCAGUUCAAGGAGCAACUCCCAGAGGCGGUCAUGGCAGCCUUGCGAGGCUUGUUCAAAGUUGAUGAUGUUGUUGCUGGAGAGGUGGAGGAGGCCCUAAUCAACCACGGGGGUGAGGCUGCGAUUGACCAUGAGGCCACGGCAACGGCGCCGUCUGCCUAG